Molecule: transfer RNA, 72 nt
Filed under: Caligus rogercresseyi
Lineage: Eukaryota; Metazoa; Arthropoda; Copepoda; Siphonostomatoida; Caligidae
Rfam family: tRNA
About the family: Transfer RNA (tRNA) molecules are approximately 80 nucleotides in length. Their secondary structure includes four short double-helical elements and three loops (D, anti-codon, and T loops).
Source: Rfam by way of RNAcentral
GGGGGUAUAGCUCAGUGGUAGAGCAAUCGACUGCAGAUCGAUAGGUCCAUGGUUCAACUCCGUGUGCCCCCU